AAAAAAAUCUAAGUUGUGUUUUAAAAUAAAGUUUGUUAUACAAGAACAUCACAUAAUAAAGAUUUUUAAGAAAUAACAAUGAUUUAUAAUUUAAAAUCAAUAAAUAAAGUUGCAAAAAUCCAAUAUUUUUUAUCUGUGCAGCGUAAGAACCCAAACACCAAUCACAGUGAGUGACGUCAUACGUAAUGAGUGAUAAGUAAACACCACUGCUUUGUAAGUUAUUUCGAGUUAUUCUACGAUUUAUUUGCAUUUUUCUAAAAAUAUUUAAUUGUAAUUAGUUACGAAUUGAAGGACUUUACUCAUAACAGAAGUUGUCGCAAGUGCUUGAAGCCGCCUAUCAAGCUUUUAUCAUGGAACAAGGUUACAAACCGACAAUAGAAAUCUCCCAAAAGAUUGAUAUUUUCAUAGUGGGCAGUUCCUUUGCCACUAAUACCGACUUUUAUUUGCUGAAUUAAGCAAUGUGGAAACAUUUGUGUACCACCUAUGCAAUAAAUCUACUUACAAAUAAAACAAGUUGAUUUAAUGUAGUAUAAGUAAGAGAAUUUUGUACGACAACACUACAGCACCAUUGCCGACUUGGGUUUUAAUUUUGAAGUCAAAAAAUAAACCUACUAGGUUUAAAUGUCUUCUAAACAAAAUGUACGAAAGGUUCAAACCCAGCUGGCGAGGCGCGGCCAUUCAUCUGGAACUACAGGCACUUGCUGCUUGUUCAGCAGGAUAAGGAGCUUCGCCAGGUCGCUGAGCACGCA
Amyelois transitella is the source of this 749-nucleotide long non-coding RNA. RefSeq lists it as uncharacterized. Lineage: Eukaryota; Metazoa; Arthropoda; Insecta; Lepidoptera; Pyralidae. The transcript is spliced from 3 exons. The record is from RefSeq and is a predicted model, not a curated record.